This 61-nucleotide transfer RNA is filed under the name Bimastos palustris. Its description in RNAcentral is "tRNA-Ala". Lineage: Eukaryota; Metazoa; Annelida; Clitellata; Crassiclitellata; Lumbricidae. The record is from RNAcentral.
AUGUAACUUAGUUUAACUAGAACAGUCAAUUUGCACUUGACAAGUGAGGUAACUCAGUAGC